AACGAACGCUGGCGGCAUGCCUAACACAUGCAAGUCGAACGAGACCUUCGUGCCUAGUGGCGCACGGGUGCGUACCGCGUGGUAAUCUGCCCUUAGGUUCGGAAUAACUCCCCGAAAGGGGUGCUAAUACAGGAUAAUGUCUUAGGACAAAAGAUUUAUCGCUUUUGGAUGGGCCCGCGUUGGAUUAGCUAGUUGGUAGGGUAAAAGCCUACCAAGGCGACGAUCCAUAGCUGGUCUGAGAGGAUGAUCAGCCACACUGGGGCUGAGACACGGCCCAGACUCCUACGGGAGGCAGCAGUGGGGAAUAUUAGACGAUGGGCGAAAGCCUGAUCCAGCAAUGCCGCGUGAGUGAUGAAGGCCUUAGUGUUGUAAAGCUCUUUUACCCGGGAUGAUAAUGACAGUACCGGGAGAAUAAGCUCCGGCUAACUCCGUG
This 433-nucleotide ribosomal RNA is filed under the name uncultured bacterium. Its description in RNAcentral is "partial 16S ribosomal RNA". It matches the Rfam family "Bacterial small subunit ribosomal RNA", at positions 29 to 507 of the family's 1533-position model. The record is from RNAcentral.